Molecule: unclassified non-coding RNA, 184 nt
Filed under: uncultured Tubeufia
Lineage: Eukaryota; Fungi; Ascomycota; Dothideomycetes; Tubeufiales; Tubeufiaceae
Description: sequence contains ITS1
Source: RNAcentral
CUGAGUAAAUUGGGUCUCUAUGGCCCAUACUCCCACCCUUUUGUGUACCUUACCAAAUGUUAAGUUGCCUUGGUAGGAACCUACCCUUCCCCUUUAACUAGGGAGAAAGCAGGCCUACCAUUGGAACUCUUUUUAAAACUCUUUUUUGAAUGGAGUCGUCUGAGAAAUAAAUUCAAAUGAAUUA